This 2715-nucleotide long non-coding RNA is filed under the name Citrus x clementina. Its description in RNAcentral is "Citrus clementina (C. clementina) long non-coding RNA (CCLE_LNC004425)". The record is from RNAcentral. Lineage: Eukaryota; Viridiplantae; Streptophyta; Magnoliopsida; Sapindales; Rutaceae.
UCAAAUACUUUCCCUAACGUUAGUAUACCGUUUUGUAUUAAUUAGGGCGGUGAGGAUAAAAUCGUAAAAGCUGCCUUCAAUUAUGAAAAAAAUUCAAGUUAGCUUUAAAUUUUCACGUUGGGUUCUGUAAUUGGUCUCGACUUUGUAAAUGUCCAGUGGCUAAAGGACAAAAACAAGCAUUAACCCACAAACUUUAACACCCACAAAAAAAGAGGAAAAAUGGUCAUCUCUUUCCUCCAUUCAAAUCGAAGCAUGAAGCACAACAUCCCUUUCAUCUUCUCCAAUGCUUUGAUUAAAAGCCUUGCCCACGAACAAGAGACCAUGACACUGAAUCCGGACACGCCAAUAACAGAGAUGACUGAUUCACGACGGUGAUGUGGAAGAAUACCGACUAGUGACUUUCGCCGUUGACCCACAAACAAUCCCAGUGUUUUUGAGUUGCGAUGAGGUAUGAAUCAGAGUAUUUCCUUGCAUGUCAAAUUGAUUAGCUGAAAUUAGGAGAUUUGGUAGAAAAAGAAUAAUGGGUCUCGAAAAUUUUUUGACAAUGUUUCUGUUGCUUCCACUUUUUUCCAUCGAUUAGUGAUAGGUGAAUGAUUGCUGCAAAUGCAUGUUCACUUCUGAUUUUUUAUAUUGUCGUAUGGUUGAUUGAAAAUGAAUUUGAAUUUUUUUUAUUUGUUUAAGGUACUUCUACUGAUUAUUGAGCGUGGAUUCUGCUAAUUUUUGUUAAAUUAAAGAUGGGAUUGUUUUUUAGGAGACUUGCAAAACCUUCUCCGCAAUAGAUUUGGCUUCUGGCAUGCCUACUUGGGCGGAGAUAAUUGCUUAUAUGGUCAUUGCUGCCUAUAUUAGUCAGGAAUAUUGAUUAGGCAAUGUACUGGGGUAGAGAUCGAUGGGAUUUUAGAAAAUUGGUUGUAGAUGCAGCCUGAUUGUGGUCUCAAAUAGUGUGAUCUGUCAAUCAAAUGUUAUCCUCACUCCUGGAAAAUAGUAAUACUUUAGUCAAAUCUUCUAGUAAUGUAGCUUCCAAAUAUUGAGAUCAGUCAUUUAUGGAUUGGAGGACAUAAGCUACUUUUAAAAGGUCUGUAGAAACUGAGAUAAGGUGUUUGGGUCAUUGGCCUUGUCUUUCUCUGCACUAUAGAGGUGUAUAGAACUGAGAUAAGAAGGUGUGUUCAGUCACUAGCCUAGUCUUUUCAUAUGCUAUACUAAACCAACUGUGCACUGAUGUGAUUGUUCUUCCUCACACUUUCAAAAAUUUAUCAACAAGGAUACUAAGCUAGUUGCAGGCCAGUAGGGAGUUAAAUUGUAAUAAACAGCGAGUUAAAAUGGAAGAGAAAAAGUAUUUGUAGUGCAAGCAAUAAGGGAAGUAUUAUGAAGUUCCAGUAAAUUUAUAAAAUAGUUAAACCAAAUAACAUACAAUGAACUGAAAAUAUGGAAUUUACAGUCUUACAUAAUGUUGCCCAGUCUCAUCAAGAAUCCCAGCUACAGCAGAUGCACAAUUUAGUCCCUUCAUGAUGUUUUUACCUUUAGAUCUGUUGAGGAUACUUGAUUUUAUUUUUUAUUUUGAUCAUGGUAUUUAUAUGUAUUGGGUUGAAGAAAUUGUCAUGGUUUGCUGCAUUCUUUCUUGCUGGAGCAGUGAGUUAAACAAUGGGGUGUGCUUGAGUGCUUCAUUUUAGUUGGGUAUCUAUUAUAAUUCAAGCAAAAUAAGCCUCAACAGAGAAGAUACAUAAACGUCUCACUAGUUCAUGCUCUGAAACGAUAAUGCAAUGGUUAUUGAGUGUGAAAAAGUAGAUUGAUUUAGGACAUAGAAAUUGUUUUAACCUCAUGAUUAGCAUUAAUGUGUUGUCAUGUAAGUUGUAGUUAAAUUAAAGAUGGAAUUGCAUAUUGAGGAUAGAUUGAUGUCAAGAAUUUGAUUUCGUCAUAUUCUCUUGAUCUCGCAUGAUUGUUUAAAUGAUUGGUAGUUGAGGUGUUUAAAUGCUUUUAAUUGUUACUUGCCCUACAUGUUGGUGUAUUGAAUGCAUAUGUAUUUUGGUUGUUGAGUUUUACUCUCAUAAACGAUUAUGUUGUGGUAUUAGCAUUAAAGAAGCUGUAACAUGGAGUAUAUUAAUGAAUUUUAAAUGAAAUCAUUUCACAUUGUUUUCUUUUUCAUUUAUUAUUUUAUACUGACCAUAUGUAAUGGCGUUAACUUUACAGCUUAAUUUACAUGGACAUAGAGGCUGUUGUGGGUGGUAAAAUGGUUAAUAUUGCACACGUAAUUCCAGAGCAAUACACAUAGAAGAAGUUGUGGGAGGAUGUGAAUGGGUGAUAAGUUUGAAAAAUUACAGCACCAUAGUUUUUAAGAAUUUUUAAAAAGAUGUAGAAGAAGAAGAAAGUGUGUUAUGGUGAUUUAUUAAGCCUGCAAAAGGCUCCAUUUAUAGGCUCUACUGCUGAAAAUGUUACGGUUUAUUUACAACGGAAAUAUUGGCAGCACAAUAUUAAUUUUUUUUAGGUAUGCAAUUUUUUUUUUAUCCAUUGGAUAUUUUGGUGUGAAUUCUAUUACCCAUAAGUUUAUCAUAUGAAUAAAAUAUAUUUUGGCGGUAAGGGUAUUUUUAGAAUUUCAACAGUCAACUGAUGAUCUACUUAACGAAAUACUAACAUCAGGGGAUGUACCUGUAAUUACAUGAAUACUUUUUAUCCGAUUGUCAAUAGACUAAACCUCAGGGGAGGUCCCUUAAAAUUACUCGG